CCCUAUCGCGGUUACCAGAGAUGGUUUCCUUCAGUUCGGCAGGAUAGGUGACAGGUGCUGCAUAGCUGUCGUCAGCUCGUGUCGUGAGAUGUUGGGUUAAGUCCCGCAACGAGCGCAACCCUCGCCUUUAGUUGCCAGCAUUAAGUUGGGUACUCUAAAGGAACCGCCGGUGAUAAGCCGGAGGAAGGUGGGGAUGACGUCAAGUCCUCAUGGCCCUUACGCGUUGGGCUACACACGUGCUACAAUGGCGACCACAGUGGGCAGCGACCGUGCGAGCGGAAGCUAAUCUCCAAAAGUUGUCUCAGUUCGGAUCGUUUUUUGUAUGAGCGGAUAACAAUUUCACACAGGAAACAGAUAUGACCAUGAUUACGCCCAGCGAGGCGGUGCCACUCUAGCUUG
This 399-nucleotide ribosomal RNA is filed under the name uncultured bacterium. RNAcentral's name for it is "bacterial SSU rRNA". It matches the Rfam family "Bacterial small subunit ribosomal RNA", at positions 988 to 1328 of the family's 1533-position model. The record is from RNAcentral.